RNAcentral lists this ribosomal RNA (430 nucleotides) under uncultured bacterium. RNAcentral's name for it is "bacterial SSU rRNA". It matches the Rfam family "Bacterial small subunit ribosomal RNA", at positions 355 to 776 of the family's 1533-position model. The record is from RNAcentral.
UGGGGAAUAUUGCGCAAUGGGCGAAAGCCUGACGCAGCCACGCCGCGUGAGUGAAGAAGGCCUUCGGGUUGUAAAGCUCUGUCGGGAGGAACGAAACCCCGGUCGGCCAAUACCCGACCGGAUUGACGGUACCUCGCAAGAAAGCACCGGCUAACUCCGUGCCAGCAGCCGCGGUAAUACGGAGGGUGCAAGCGUUGUUCGGAAUCACUGGGCGUAAAGCGUGCGUAGGCGGCCGGAUAAGUCGGAUGUGAAAGCCCGGGGCUCAACCCCGGAACUGCAUUCGAUACUGUUCGGCUUGAGUAUGGGAGAGGGAAGCGGAAUUCCUGGUGUAGCGGUGAAAUGCGUAGAUAUCAGGAGGAACACCCGUGGCGAAAGCGGCUUCCUGGCCCAUUACUGACGCUGAGGUACGAAAGCGUGGGUAGCAAACAGG